AGUGAACGCUGGCGGCAGGCCUAACACAUGCAAGUCGAACGGCAGCGCAGUAACAACCCUGUCUUCCGGCUGCGGACGGGUGAGGGAUUCGGCGGAAUCUCCCUUUUUGUUUUUUAGAACGUGGUGAAGCAUACACUCAUACCCCAUUCGUCCUUCGGGAGUAAGUGUGGGACCGCAAGGCCUCCCGCACAAACAUGAGCGAACGACCGAUUAUCGAGUUGGUGGGUUAAAGGCCCACCAGGGCGACGAUCGGUCGCUGGUCUGAGAGGAUGAGCAGCCAAACGGGAAUUGGGAACCGGCCCAGCCUCCUAGGGGAGGCAGCAGUGGGGAAUAUUGGAAAAUGGGCGAAAGCUUGACCAAGCCAUGCCGCGUGUGUGAAGAAGGCCUUCGGGUUGUAAAGCACUUUUGUCCGGAAAGAAAUCCCUGGAGUUAAUCCCCGCGGGGGAGGCCGGUACCGGAAGAAUAAGCACCGGCUAACUCCGU
This 483-nucleotide ribosomal RNA is filed under the name uncultured bacterium. RNAcentral's name for it is "partial 16S ribosomal RNA". It matches the Rfam family "Bacterial small subunit ribosomal RNA", at positions 29 to 506 of the family's 1533-position model. The record is from RNAcentral.